UGGGGAAUUUUACGCAAUGGGGGGAAACCCCUGACGUAGCGACACCGCGUGAGCGAAGAAGCCCUUUUGGGGGUGUAAAGCUCUGUCAACAGGAACGAAACAAAUGACGGUACCUGUGGAGGAAGCAUCGGCUAACUACGUGCCAGCAGCCGCGGUAAGACGUAGGAUGCAAGCGUUGUCCGGAUUUAUUGGGCGUAAAGAGUUCGUAGGCGGUUUGUUAAGUCUGAUGUUAAAGACCGGGGCUCAACCUCGGAAAUGCAUUGGAUACUGGCAGACUGGAGUGCAGUAGAGGCUAGUGGAAUUCCCAGUGUAGCGGUGAAAUGCGUAGAUAUUGGGGAAGAACACCGGUGGCGUAGGCGACUAGCUGGGCUGUAACUGGCGCUGAGGAACGAAAGCCAGGGGAGCAAAUGGGAUUAGAUACCCCAGUAGUCCUGGCCGUAAACGAUGGAUACUAGGCGUAGUGGGUAUCGACCCCUGCUGUGCCGCAGCUAACGCGAUAAGUAUCCCGCCUGAGUAGUACGGCCGCAAGGUUGAAACUCAAAUGAAUUGACGGGGUCAUAGCUGUUUCCU
Molecule: ribosomal RNA, 570 nt
Filed under: uncultured bacterium
Lineage: Bacteria
Description: partial 16S ribosomal RNA
Rfam family: Bacterial small subunit ribosomal RNA
Source: RNAcentral